This is a long non-coding RNA of Corapipo altera (White-ruffed manakin), 609 nucleotides long. RefSeq lists it as uncharacterized. The transcript has 3 exons. The record is from RefSeq and is a predicted model, not a curated record. Lineage: Eukaryota; Metazoa; Chordata; Aves; Passeriformes; Pipridae.
CUGUGUGAGCAGAGCAUUCUGAGUCAGUUGUCCUCAGAGGAGAGGAAACCAACAACUCUGGAGGCAUCAGUGCUUGCUCUUUGCAUGCCUGACGGCUGAGACAAAGCCAUGACCUGCUGUGUCUGACCACAGCUCUAUCACUAAUACCAUUCCAUUCAAUGUUCAGCUGGGUUCACACUCGACAGGAUGGUAGCACCUUUGUUCCGUGCUGUGGGUGCAAUCCAUCAUAAGGAUAGGGAGAAACCCCAUAAAUUUAAAUAGCUUCAAGAAGAGAGAAAAAGAAACAGCAAAAAAAGAAAGCAGCUCUGCAAAACAGCGAUUUGCAGAGAGCUUCAGGUGAAGUCCAUUUGAAAACAGUUUUUCUGUUUUCUCUUAGCCAGAGGAGGUAACCAGUACAUAGGAAAACAGGUGGAUUUCAGCUGGACCAGAUGGCAGAUCUGCCUUGGGCUGGCACUGUUGCUGACACAAGGAGACAGCAUCAAGGACCUCGCUGGAGCGAAGGUAAACAACCACCCACUGCUCUCCUCUCGUCCACUGCUCUAGUCAUCUCAUUGCAGAAGGCUAUCAGGUUGGUAAGGCACAAAUCCACACUGACUACCCUUAAUCACC